AUGGAUCACAUUACAAAAUUUGUUGCAACAAGAUUACCCGAGUCAUAUAAUAAAGAAAAACAAAAGAAGUUAUCAAUCAUGGUGCACGAAAUGUGUUCCGAAAUAUCACACUCAGUUGGAAAGCUUGUGUACAAUAUUGGCAGGAUCGAUGAUAUUGAAGCUGGGACAAACACGAUAGAACCUAGUAAGAUGGGAACAAGCAGGCAACGUUCAAACAGAAGAAGUAAACAAUUGGGCAGUGACAGUGAAAGCUUAUUAAGUGAAGAAGGCAACAAUAGCUUACCUAGUCAAGAAGAUUCAUACAAGUCGGACAGCGAUGAUAAAGACAAAGAUGGAGAUGAAUCUGAUGAAGCAGAUGAUGAUGGAGAAAAAGCGACAGCGGCAGCGAUGGUGACUCAGAUGAUGAUGAUGGUGAUGAACUGA
RNAcentral lists this ribosomal RNA (423 nucleotides) under Triticum aestivum (bread wheat). RNAcentral's name for it is "partial small subunit ribosomal RNA". Lineage: Eukaryota; Viridiplantae; Streptophyta; Magnoliopsida; Poales; Poaceae. The record is from RNAcentral.